This 253-nucleotide ribosomal RNA is filed under the name uncultured bacterium. RNAcentral's name for it is "partial 16S ribosomal RNA". It matches the Rfam family "Bacterial small subunit ribosomal RNA", at positions 524 to 776 of the family's 1533-position model. The record is from RNAcentral.
UACGUAGGGUGCGAGCGUUGUCCGGAAUUACUGGGCGUAAAGGGCGCGUAGGCGGUACUUCAAGUCAGGCGUGAAAGCCCCGGGCUCAACCUGGGAACCGCGCUUGAGACUGGAGAACUAGAGUUCGGGAGAGGAUGGUGGAAUUCCCAGUGUAGAGGUGAAAUUCGUAGAUAUUGGGAAGAACACCGAUGGCGAAGGCAGCCAUCUGGACCGACACUGACGCUGAGGCGCGAAAGCGUGGGGAGCAAACAGG